CCGCUCACAUGACCACCGUGACUCGCUGCUCACGUGACCGAGCGACGGGCCGGGCCGGGCCGCGGCGGAGCCGGAGCGGAGCGGAGCGGAGCGGGGCCGGGCCGGGACGG
RNAcentral lists this microRNA precursor (110 nucleotides) under Taeniopygia guttata (zebra finch). RNAcentral describes it as "microRNA tgu-mir-2976 precursor (tgu-mir-2976-2)". The record is from miRBase by way of RNAcentral. Lineage: Eukaryota; Metazoa; Chordata; Aves; Passeriformes; Estrildidae.